Molecule: non-coding RNA, 95 nt
Filed under: uncultured Clostridium sp.
Lineage: Bacteria; Bacillati; Bacillota; Clostridia; Eubacteriales; Clostridiaceae
Description: TPP riboswitch (THI element)
Rfam family: TPP riboswitch aptamer (THI element) (bases 4-85)
About the family: Vitamin B(1) in its active form thiamin pyrophosphate (TPP) is an essential coenzyme that is synthesised by coupling of pyrimidine and thiazole moieties in bacteria. The previously detected thiamin-regulatory element, thi box was extended, resulting in a new, highly conserved RNA secondary structure, the THI element, which is widely distributed in eubacteria and also occurs in some archaea. Analysis of operon structures identified a large number of new candidate thiamin-regulated genes, mostly transporters, in various prokaryotic organisms.
Source: RNAcentral
AGUGCUAGGGGUGCCUUUGUGCUGAGAAAUGAUUUUAUCAUUAACCCUCUUUAACCUGAUCUGGGUAAUACCAGCGUAGGAAAGCCAAGAAAUUU